Sorghum bicolor (sorghum) is the source of this 247-nucleotide long non-coding RNA. RefSeq lists it as uncharacterized. The record is from RefSeq and is a predicted model, not a curated record. The transcript is spliced from 3 exons. NCBI's taxonomy places the organism in Eukaryota, Viridiplantae, Streptophyta, Magnoliopsida, Poales, Poaceae.
AGAUGGGAAUACAAUAAAUGAAAGCGAUGAAAAUAGUGACUGGCUCCAUAGGCAGUCAUCCUAUUGUAACAGCUUGCAACAAUUAUCAGACGGUUCGGUACCUUUAAGCACGAUUGGUGGCAUUGGUGACGUGCAUAACAUUGACACUGAGGAAGGUCUCGGCAACCGGCUUGUCACGUGUUCAAAAGAGCAUAAGCGUGAUUAUGACAGAGCACGAAAUGCCGCAAUGUCUCCUGAACAAAGGGCG